CAGCACCUUUUGUAAGACUGGCAUAGGGCUUUACCCGCUCUGCAUCAGAGCUUCUUUGGGUGUGCUGUGCUCAGGCUUGUCUGGCUGAGGGAGUACAUAACUUGUGCUUCAGCUCCACCUCUACACCUCUACCAAACAGAGAGAGAGAGAGAGAGAGAACAUGUGGGAGAAGAGCUGCUAACACAGUGCGAGAGGAAUGCAAGACUUUUCUUGCCAGUUCCCACAACAUCAGUCCAGAGAGAGGGAAAGAUAUUGAGAUAUUGAUUGUCUCCAACACAGACUCUGGAGACCUUUAUGCUUAUAAAGACAAACACACACAUACAGUGCAGAUUCACAUCUCGCAGAGCAUACACACACUUAAGUUUACUCAUCAGAGGCAUUCUCGCACUGCUGUGAUGGAACACUCUCCUACACUCCAGGGUGGACGGUUUGGACUUUUCUUCUCACUCUCAUGGAAAGCAGAAAGUAUUCUUGGAAAUCCUUGAAAAGCUCUUCUGGAUAGUACCCUGAACCAAUCUGGAUUGGAGGUAAAGGAUUAUUAAUACGCUGGACUUCGCUUCAGAAUGGCCACAAAAGAUCACAGCGUUUAUCCAAGUCCACUCCAUGUGACAGUGAAGCACUGGAAAAGGCCUGGAACUACUACUGAUUUGUUUGAAAUGAUUGAGAGAAUGCAGAGCAACAGAAUGGAUGAACAGCGGAGUACCCUUCCACCCCCUCUCAAAACCGAGGAAGACUACAUCCCAUAUCCCAGUGUCCAUGAGGUGCUGGGCAGGAAGAGCCCUUUCCCCUUGAUUCUGCUGCCCCAGUUUGGGGGCUACUGGAUUGAAGGCACCAAUCAUGAGUUGAGCAACGGAAAUGACCCAGAGCUGCUCCUGUCCCCCACAUCUCGCAUCAAGCUGGAGUGCAACACCACCGCCAAGAUAUACAGGAAACAUUUUCUGGGCAAGGAGCACUUUAAUUACUACACAGUGGACAGCGCUCUGGGCCACCUGGUCUUCUCUGUUAAAUAUGAAGUUAUUGGGGACCAGGAACACCUCCGUUUGAUGCUGAGAUCCAAAUUGAAAACGUAUCACGACGUGAUCCCGAUAUCUUGUCUGACUGAAUUUCCCAACAUUGUCCAGAUGGCCAAGCUGGUGUGUGAGGAGGUGAACGUGGACCGCUUUUUCCCUGUGCUUUACCCAAAGGCUUCAAGGCUCAUUGUCACUUUUGACGAGCAUGUCAUCAGCAACAACUUCAAGUUUGGAGUAAUAUAUCAGAAGUUCGGACAGACUUCAGAGGAGGAGGUGUUCGGGAAUAAUGAAGAGAGUCUUGCUUUUGUAGAGUUUUUAGAGUUUCUGGGACAGAAGAUCGAGCUCCAUGACUUCAAAGGUUUUCGAGGGGGCUUAGAUGUGACACACGGACAGACAGGCACAGAAUCGGUCUACCACAACUUCCAUAAUAAGGAGGUGAUGUUCCAUGUGUCCACCAAACUUCCCUACACAGAAGGAGACAUGCAACAGCUGCAGAGAAAGAGGCAUAUAGGAAAUGACAUUGUGGCCAUCGUGUUUCAAGAAGAGAACACUCCCUUUGUGCCAGACAUGAUUGCAUCUAACUUCCUGCAUGCCUACAUUGUCGUGCAAGUGGAGAAUUCCUGUUCUGACAAUGUCCUGUACAAGGUGUCAGUGACCGCAAGAGAUGAUGUCCCAUUCUUUGGACCAGCCCUACCUGACCCUGCCAUAUUCAAGAAAGGACCAGAAUUCCAUGAAUUUCUUUUCACCAAGCUGAUCAAUGCUGAGUAUGCUUGCUACAAAGCUGAGAAAUUUGCCAAACUGGAAGAGCGCACUCGGGCGGCGCUGCUGGAAACCCUGUAUGAAGAGUUGCACAUAAACAGUCAGGCCAUGAUGGGGCUCGGUGGAGAUGAGGACAAGCUGGAGAACGGAGGAGGAGGGAGUGGGGGCUUCUUCGAGUCAUUUAAGCGGGUGAUCCGCAGCAGGAGCCAGUCUCUGGAUGCCAUGGGCUUCAAUAUCAGGAAGCACACAGUCUCCUCUAGUCACAGCGGCAGUUUUACCCACAACAACAACAACCAUCACCUGCACUCACCAGAGACCCCCAAAAUGCCCGGGAUAUCAUUGCUUGUCCCAGGGAAAAGUCCCAGUAAAUAUGGACGUCGCGGCAGUGCCAUAGGGAUAGGAACGAUAGAAGAGUCUCUGAUAAUUCCUGGGAAAAGCCCGACCAGGAAAAAGUCUGGCCCAUUCAGCUCUCGCAGGAGCAGUGCCAUUGGCAUUGAGAACAUCCAGGAGGUGCAGGAAAAAAGGAUUGCAUCGCUGUUGUCAGAGGACAGAACAGUGCUGUGUGUGUCUCUGCCCAGCGUCAGUCUCAGGAAUGGCAGGCUCACCAUGGAUUCCUCCAACAGCAGGGAGUGCUCUCCCAGCACACAGAAAACCCCAGACAGUGGCCACGCUUCGCAGGACCCCAAGUCAGAAAACUCUUCUAAUCAGAGCUCACCUGAGGUCCUCGUUACUAAAACAACUCAGCCAUGUGCUGCAGGGCUCCCUCCAUCCCUGAAGCUCAUGACUUAUCACGCUCCUCCUCGAAUGCCAGUAGCUUUGCCAGUGUGGUGGAGGAGAAUGAGACUGAGGCCACAGAGGACUAUGACACGGGCAUGGAAAGUUUGUCCUCAGCAGGGACGCCACACAAGCGAGACUCUUUCACCUACAGCACUUGGCUGGAGGACAAUAUGAGCAGUGUCAGCACCAGCAGCAGGGGGAACUCUCCUGGUACAGGCAGGCCUCUGCAGCCAGAAUGUGGAAAGAGCCAUGAACAGAACCGGACAGACAUCCGCAUCAAACUGGAGCGAUCUCAUGACCACAAAUCCACAUCGAACUGCUAGCCUCUCCCAUCUGGUCGCUUCAUGGAUUUCCAUCAACAGCAUUCCCAUAAGAAAAACACCCCCCUCAAAGAGAUGAGGCGAGCUUGGGUUUAGGACAUGACUGCUGAUGACAAUGAUGAUGAAGGUGAAGAUAACUCCAGCCUGCCACAGCGUGACGGAUGACAGGACCAUGAUCAUGUGACCAUGACCUCUCAGGUGGUCCAGUGCAGUAGACAGAGAGAGAGAGACAGACAGAGAGAGAGAGGGGGGUACAGGCUGCAUGAAGAAACCUAAGUUACAUUGCACCAAUUUCUUUUCAUUGUCAUUUCUCUCUCUUGGUCCCCACUCAGCCUCAGUGUAGGAUCUUUUCUGUUCUGAUGUCUGAAAUGCUUUUAGUCCCUGCAGUAAAUCAGUGUGGGCUUUGUGUCCAUGUAGAAAAGAUUGCUACCUGUUUAUCGUCUUGGUGAAUGGCUUCGUUAAUGGAUUGUGCAGGGUCCUAAAGUUGCACCAUGUUGAAUUCCCUGGACUCCAAGUAAAGAAACAUCUCCACUGCGUUGAGCAGAAGCUUUUUCAGUUCUCCCACAAGGACCAAACAGACAGAGCUGACUGAAAUGUUUCUGAAGCUUUUGACAUGGGCAUGUUUCUUUUUGUCGUCUGGUCUUUGCUUGUGGUAAUCACUGUUGAUAAUGUUUAAAUUGUUUGUGCUGCUUACAGCUUACAGUGAUUUUUUUGUUAAUGAUGUCACAUUAACAAUGUUCCAGGAUAACAAGUCCUAGUACAGAGAUGGAGCUUUCAGAUGAAGGAAAUUACAUGAAAUGAAACCUAUCAUUCCUGUGGAAACAGCCUGCAUUACCAACAGUAAAAGAAAAGAACACAGACAACACCUGAUAGAUGUCCAACUACAGCUAAUUAGGGAUAUGGAGUGAAUAUUCUUUAAAAUCGCUACUCAGACUUCACUUGCAAAUGCCUUGCCUUAACCAUCAAACGGGUGAUUUAUGCCAUGUUUAUAUUGCACGAAAAUCGAAUUCAGUGAGUGCAUCCAGCUAGCACCGAGUGACUAACUGUAGCAUAUGUUAUGAGCUUUGAUGUUGCAGUACGUAUUUUUGCCUUGAACUCUUGAUUUUUUUUUUAACAAGAUCACAGCUUGCUCCCAACAUGCCAGGGUCUUGGUUUCAGUCUAUAGUUAAAAAUGUCCUUUAUUUAAGUCCCUGUUCUUCUUGAGCAAAAGAAUUAUUUUAUUCUUUUUAAUUAUGUACAGCAGACACAACAUAUUGUCAGUUCUUUUGUAGACUUGGCGUCGUGUGUCAUGCUCACUAGAGUAUGAGCUGUUGUCUUGGUUACUUUCUGUUCUGUGUUCGGACGUAUGUCCAGUAGAUCUGUGAAGAUUGUAAUUUUAAAGAAGAUUUGGAGGUUGAAUGUGUGCCUAAUUUCUUUAUCUCUAGACUCUCCUUGCCAGACCUCCAGCAGAAAUGGUCAUAAAUGACAAAAACAUUUACUGUUGCAGCUUGAGAUAAGAUAUUGUAAAAUAUAUUUAUGUGGGAUGGUAAAGCUCAGCCUCUGUAAUCUGCAUAAGCGUAAGGCUGGUCUCAGAUUUACAUUGUAAAUAGGGAUUUUUCCAUUCAGAAUAUUUUAAAAUGGUUUUGUAGCCAAGGACUCUGCUUAUUCUGAGUCCAGAGAACCGGCCCUAGCUUUUAAACCUCAGUAAUGCCAAAAUCAGUCGUCUUGUGCCCUUAUUGACGUGAAGAUGAGUAGAUCACUGAAAAUAACCAGCACAAAGCGGUCCAGUGUAUGUGGUUUGGAGUUGCCUUACUGUCAGAAAUGUCAACGGUUAAUGAAGGUGUGAAUUAGUUGUAGGUACGAAUGUUAACUUUGAGUCCAUGUUGGAAUACAUGUGUUCAUUGGUGAAAAAUGAUGGCUUAAAUCAACUGCCUUUGCAUUGUCUUUGGUUGUUUCCAUGGCCACUACAUGGCCUAAAUAAUCCUUACUGUUCACUGUUUAUGUUCUAAAAAUGAAGGUGCAAAUACACAGGUAACAGGUAAAUGACAGGACCUCAACUCUAUCUUGCUUCAUCAUAUAAGUCAGUUCCAUCUGUGUGACACAAUGGAAUGGAGGACAACACAGGAUUUGUAUUUUCACUAUCCAUGCAAAUAGCAACCUCAGAUCAAAUGUACAAAGGAACAAACCUGAAUUAGAUUGCUGUUGUUGGCCCUGCUUAGCGCUUUUGUGCCCCUCUGUGGUGAGUUGUGGUCCUUCUACUCCUUCAAGCGUCCAUAUUGUAGUUUGAGCUCAAGUCGAAUUUGAUGCCAAAAAAAAAAAGGCACGAAAUGUGUGCUGCUCUAAACAGGGUAUGAAUCAAGCAUUGCUACAUGCUCCUAUCAAACGACUGUACAUGUGACCUGUCCAUGCUUUUGUGAGGUCAUUCUUGUAAAUACAGCUAUUUUGUACAUAGGCCUACUGUCCAGAAAAAAAGAUUAAAUAAAGAGACUUGGGUGUAAUGUUU
Molecule: RNA transcript, 5348 nt
Organism: Colossoma macropomum (tambaqui)
Lineage: Eukaryota; Metazoa; Chordata; Actinopteri; Characiformes; Serrasalmidae
Gene name: RAP1 GTPase activating protein
Exons: 25
Source: RefSeq, a predicted model, not a curated record